RNAcentral lists this unclassified non-coding RNA (356 nucleotides) under fungal sp. RNAcentral's name for it is "partial internal transcribed spacer region". The stretch from base 1 to 46 matches the Rfam family "Eukaryotic small subunit ribosomal RNA", at positions 1786 to 1831 of the family's 1831-position model. The record is from RNAcentral. Lineage: Eukaryota; Fungi.
AAGUCGUAACAAGGUUUCCGUAGGUGAACCUGCGGAAGGAUCAUUACCAUAUCCAAAAAACUUUACCAACCCACCGUGUGAACUGUUUUCUUUUUGCUACACUUGGGGUGAGCCGGCCGUUACCCAUGGCCUAAUCUACAAACAUUGGCCUGGUGUCAUGUUUGGAGUGGGCUAUGCGAUGAGGGUUGGGUUUGCCCCACCUGUGCGAAAAUUUUCAAAACAACCCCUGGUCAAACCAAAAAAUAUACCCACUCUGAUCUAAUUUUUUUUAACUUUUUCUCUUCGGAGAAAAAAAAGAAAAAAUUACCACAAACAAAACCAAUAGACAACUUAUAACGGUGGAUCUCUUGGCUCGU